GGUUCUCCAUUUCCGCAAGCGGGUCUAACCGAGCAGCCAGUCGACUACCAGUGCAUGGGAAAGAACGGAAACUUUUGUUAUGUUUUAACUGCGGGGUAUAAUGGAGAAAUGGACUACAAGGGCGGAACAUGCAACAAUAAAAAAUGUCAAUAUACCGAAAUUCCACA
Dermacentor silvarum is the source of this 167-nucleotide long non-coding RNA. RefSeq lists it as uncharacterized. Lineage: Eukaryota; Metazoa; Arthropoda; Arachnida; Ixodida; Ixodidae. The transcript has 3 exons. The record is from RefSeq and is a predicted model, not a curated record.